CCUCUUCGAAAAUAGUGGUAUGAAUUAUAUACAUUUUACCCUCCUUAGACCAAUCCCACUUGAUUGGAAUACAAUAAAUUUAUUGUUGUUUUGUAAGGAAAAUAAUAAAAUCUUCAUCUGCUAUUGAUUUGACCGGGGAAAAAAAACAGAUAAUAUCCAAAUCUAGAAAAACGAUAAUCCAAUCAAAGAUUUUUCGUCUGUUUAAAUCUAAAUGGGGCAAUUGUAUUUUGUAUC
This 234-nucleotide long non-coding RNA is filed under the name Capsicum annuum. RNAcentral describes it as "long non-coding RNA (CANN_LNC014658)". Lineage: Eukaryota; Viridiplantae; Streptophyta; Magnoliopsida; Solanales; Solanaceae. The record is from RNAcentral.